This 1296-nucleotide long non-coding RNA is filed under the name Scleropages formosus (Asian bonytongue). RNAcentral describes it as "lncRNA (ENSSFOG00015029323.1)". Lineage: Eukaryota; Metazoa; Chordata; Actinopteri; Osteoglossiformes; Osteoglossidae. The record is from RNAcentral.
CUUGCCUUCACUAUUGACUAUAUAAAUUAAUUAUGAACAGGGCAGCAGUGUAAAUAAACGGGACCAUUUGAUUUUCAAAUAUAAAAAUACAUAUUGUAACGACCCCGCGUUACUGUUUUAGGAAGGAAACGAAUAAAUGUAAAUAGUUGCAUUCUGGGAAAUAAUGUGAAAUGUGGGUAUGCAACCACUGGGGGCACUUAGGGGGAAAAUAAUGGGGUAACCGUGCCUAGGAGUGUGCCUGGCUAGGCUGGAAUGAUGGGCUUUUGUUUUAUUUAAUUUUAUUUUUUGGUAUGACAGCUUUUUAGGAUUUAUUUAUUGAAUAAAGGCUUUAAUUACCGGAAAUGAUGAGUAGCGAUGUUAGUUUUUGUCGAUUUGGACAAUGUGUGGAGCCAGACACUUUUAGGUAGACUGGUGGUCCAUUCUGACCCGUAGAAAAAUAAAAUAGGUGCAAGUCCUGAGGAAAACGGGAUCCUCGGACCGCGAGCAUUAUUUCCCCGGUGCCGGUGUUCCUAUAAUAAACCGUUCGUUAUGAACGCUGCCUUUGCGUCCUUCUUCACCCCAUCCAAACCCACGGCGCUGCGCUCCACAGUAUAAUAUUUAUUAAACAAUCGAGGUAUUUCGGUUAGUGUUUUUCACUGUGCCGUCAAGUCCUGCGGAGAGGUACGAGUGUGUAGCGCCCUUCCCUCGGCCGCAACGAGAACACACGCACCGUUCCGCAUCGUUCCGCAUCGUUCCGCACCGCAGCUUCAGUGUGUCAGUGUGACCGUCCGCCCGACUCGCUGCGGCUCCUAAUUCAAGUCAUAUGUCUGGAAAUGUGUAUUGGACACGGUCUCUGCACUCUCUUGGGCUUCAGAGCAGGAAGGAGUUACAUACGCGGACUGCGUUCACUUAAACGCGAGGAAUACUUGAUAUUUUCUAACCAGUGACCAUUCCGUCGAUGAUUGUUUUGUAUUUGAUGCUAAAAUACAAAUUGACAAAGGUUAAUAAGUCUUUUGUGUAUCUGAUCGUCAGCGAGGGACGAGGAUGUGCAGCCUGCGGUGAGCUUUUUGCCAGUAUUGCUACCUGUCCACCUGCCUGCGUGUGCUCCCGCCGUAAUACGGACCAGCAUGAGCGUACUGCCCCCUGUUCGGAAGGACCGAAUAAUCACUGAACUUCCUAGGGUAAUCCUUGAAUGUUUUAUUUAUUUUCUUUAUAUAUUAUAUAUUACCCAUGCCUAAUGCAGCAUCCCUCUUGUCUGCCAGCCAGGAGCAGGACACAACUCGCUUUGAUUCAUACCACCCACUGGAAGCUAUAAAC